This is a long non-coding RNA of Scylla paramamosain (green mud crab), 929 nucleotides long. RefSeq lists it as uncharacterized. The record is from RefSeq and is a predicted model, not a curated record. NCBI's taxonomy places the organism in Eukaryota, Metazoa, Arthropoda, Malacostraca, Decapoda, Portunidae. The transcript has 3 exons.
AGCAACUCUGCUUGCGGGGCUGAUAAUUCUUGACUUCGCGGGCUCGAGCUCCUUCACGGUCGGCCAUCUUCCCGUCUUUAAACAAUCUUUGUGGAUUUGGUGUUGGAUGGACCAAUGGCAGCCUGUCCUGCAGCAGGCUAGAUCAACCUGACCUCGCUAUCACCACUUACCUGCCAAGACAGGUGACUCCUCGCUGCUCCUUAGCCACCACUCCACACACCGCCGCGCCGCUGCCACCACUCACCGCAACAACAAAUGAACUUUGCUUUCUGCCUUUGUACGGCGUCUCAUUUCCUUUCCUUCAAAGAAAUUGUCGUUUUCGUUGUAAAUGAGUUCUUUCUCGUGACUAUGAAGGACACGAAGACGCGUAGCAAAUGCGGGAGGGAAAGUUUUCAUUGUAGAUGGUGGGCAGAGGGGAAAAAAAAAAAAAAGGAUAAAUAACCUUCGGAACAAAAUAUUUUAUCAUGUGAUCAUUGUGAACACUUAUUUGCCAUUUAGGAUAUUCCAUUAAUUUAAUAAAAGUCUACAAUAUGGAAUGCAUUGCAAAUAUUGUACUGUAUUAUACUUAAACACUUGUAUUCUGCAUUUUUAGCUCAUUCUUUUAUAAGUGCAGACCAUAUACUGUAGUUGUUAGAAGUAAACUACCAAGCCUUCCAGUUCUUUUUUACAUCAGGAAUAUAUUCUGUAUUCCAUAAUCAAUUCCAUUGGACACUUUGUCUAUGGAUGAAAAAUCCCUUCCAUCCAACAUUCUGAUACAGACAUGCCUCACUCAAACAUCAUUCCUGCACUUUGUAAUGAGUAACUCAAGACUACUCUAACUCAUGAGGACUAGCUACACACUAGCUACACCAUGGGAAUGAGGCAUCAACAAGCUGGAAAGGAAGAAAUGAAACUUGAAGCAAUCUGGGCUGAGAUGAGCAACUACGAGC